This 253-nucleotide ribosomal RNA is filed under the name uncultured bacterium. RNAcentral describes it as "partial 16S ribosomal RNA". It matches the Rfam family "Bacterial small subunit ribosomal RNA", at positions 524 to 776 of the family's 1533-position model. The record is from RNAcentral.
UACGUAGGGGGCAAGCGUUGUCCGGAUUUACUGGGUGUAAAGGGCGCGCAGGCGGGAUAAAAAGUCAGUGGUGAAAUCCUACAGCUUAACUGUAGAACUGCCUUUGAUACUUUUAUUCUUGAGUUCGGGAGAGAGAGACGGAAUUCCAGGUGUAGUGGUGAAAUACGUAGAUAUCUGGAAGAACACCGGUUGCGAAGGCGGUCUCUUGGUCCGAUACUGACGCUGAGGCGCGAAAGCGUGGGGAGCAAACAGG